This 825-nucleotide ribosomal RNA is filed under the name Ricasolia amplissima. RNAcentral describes it as "SSU rRNA". It matches the Rfam family "Bacterial small subunit ribosomal RNA", at positions 307 to 1020 of the family's 1533-position model. The record is from RNAcentral. Lineage: Eukaryota; Fungi; Ascomycota; Lecanoromycetes; Peltigerales; Lobariaceae.
AUCACAAUGUGGCCUGAACAAAGCCCAUGACAAAAGUAGCAGCAGUGAGGAAUAUUGGUCAAUAGCCUAACGGCUGAACCAGCAACUUGGAGGAAUGAAAAGCGAAAGCUAAUUGCAUUUACUUAAAAUUAAAUUUUAAGAGAGUGUCCCUUUUUAUUUAUAAAAAAUUGGAUGGCUUUUAAGAGAGUGGUCCCUUUUUAUUUUAAAAAUUUGAAAACCUUUUAAAGAGGAAGGGUCYAUUUUUUAUGUAGUUACUACUUUGUAGUUUAAAAUUCUAGAUAGAAUUAUGAUGAUGACAUUAUCUAUCUAUUAGUCUUGACCAAAUUACGUGCCAGCAGUCGCGGUAAUACGUAAAAGACAAGUGUUAUUCAUCUUUAUUGGGUUUAAAGAGUACCAAGACGGUUAAUAAAGCCCAAAAUACAUGAACACAGGGGACACAUUAACUAGAGUUAUAUGAAAGGAAGCACUAAAGUACUGUUGAGUGUAGAGAUAAAAUUCUAUCAUACCAGAUAAAGGCACAGAUUUAUGCGAAGGCAUCUUCUUAUGUAAUAACUGACGUUGUAGGACGAAGGCUUUUUAAGUGAAGAGGAUUAGAGACCCUUGUAAUCUAAGCAGAAAAUGAUGAAUGUCAUAGGUUUAAUAUAUUAUUGGGUCUAUAAAUGAAAGUGUAAGCAUUCCACCUCAAGAGUAAUUUGGCAACAUUGGAACUGAAAUCAUUAGACCGUUUCUGAAACCAGUAGUGAAGUAUGUUGUUUAAUUAGAUGAUACACAAAAAACCUUACCACAAUUUGAAUAUAUAUCUUUAAAGAUAUUUACAAGCGUUGC